Fundulus heteroclitus (mummichog) is the source of this 6821-nucleotide RNA transcript. RefSeq lists it as uncharacterized. The transcript is spliced from 2 exons. The record is from RefSeq and is a predicted model, not a curated record. NCBI's taxonomy places the organism in Eukaryota, Metazoa, Chordata, Actinopteri, Cyprinodontiformes, Fundulidae.
GCUGUUUUUAUGUGUUUUCUCCAGGCCGUUAGGGGGCGCAUGUUUGCAAAGUUCGCUAAAUUGAGCCAGUUAAUAAGUAGAAGAAGAAGUGUUACAGGAAGCCAUCUUUCUUUACAUGAGUCAAGAAAUGAACAUGGUGUAUUUCUCAUCUGCACCCAUCCAAUCCUUUCCAUCCCUUUGAGUGGCAAUAUGAGUAAGUCAUAAAGUUGUGUAUGGUGGCUAGAAAUUAUAUAUUUGAUUAUUGUGGUAACCUUGAGAGUUUUGAUAUGUUAUAUGCUCUAAUACAUUGGAGUCCAAUUAGAGUGAGUCAAAUGCUAAGGCUAAAUGUAAGCUAACCCUUUAAAUGUACCUUUUAUAGAAAGUAAAUGUUAUUUGAUUUACUUUGAUGUAUGAUUUACAUACUAAGUACAUUUUUGUAUUUUGUAUUGUUUCAGUUUCACACUUUUUUCGCAUUAAAUCCGUUCAAAUACAACACACGGCUGUUCCUUGGAGGAAGUGAUGCAAGAAAGAGUUUAGCUGGCUGUGAAUCUCAAUAUAGGACCCGCGGUCACAUUGGGUGCAACAGUACAGUGAAAUCAUAGCACUCUGCGAGGGACUACGGGUAGACGCUCUACUACUCAACCAUGGAAAAAUCAGAAGCUAAAGGUCGAAACGAUGAAGAGACAAAUUCAACCCACUCAGCAAAGUUUUCAAGGUCUUCAGGAAAACUGACUGUUAGAUCAGUAGCAACAGGCUCCAGCAGGUCAUCAGCAUCAUCGCGAGCAAGUAUGGCGGCAGCACGAGCACAAGCAGAAGCUCAAGCAGCGAAGGCCAGAUUAGCCUACGCUGAAAAGGAAAUGACAAUCAAAGUAGAAAAAGCCCGUCUAGAAGCAACUCUCGACGUAAUCAAUCUCCAAAAGGAAGCUGAUGCAGCCAUGGCUAAAGCUGAGGUAAUGGAGUCAGCAGCAGCUCAAUUUGACACAGCUGAUGCAGGACAAGAAUUGAGAUUUCUGCCCCUACAAACUACUCCAGAGCAAAAGGUGAGUGAAUACAUAAAUAAACAUAGUUACACUGACCUGGCUGAGGAUAAUAGAGAAACAUUUCAAUAUGAUGACGACACCUAUCAGAACGCAGAAUGCAAACAGCCAAUAGUGUAUACACCUUUUUUCCUAAAACAAGAACCAAUGCAAUACACGUUUGCACCUCAAGAUGCCAAACGACCAUCAAAAAGAGAUGUAAUUCCACAAACCCUCCACAAUGUGUUACAACCACAGCAGGAACAAAACCAAAAUAAAACUGCUGACACCACAACAAGUGACCUUGCCAGAUUUCUAGCUAGAAGUCAACUAUUGACUGGAGGACUGUCUAAAUUUGAUGAUAAGCCAGAAACCUACCUAAGCUGGAAAGCCACAUUCCAGAGUACCAUCAGGGACCUUGGUCUUACAGCCAGUGAGGAAAUGAAUCUACUGAUUAAGUGGCUAGGCACCGAGUCUUCUGAACACGCUAAGAGACUAAAAGCAGUUAACAUAAAGAAUCCACCUGCUGGUUUGUACAUGAUAUGGCAAAGACUAGAAGAGUGUUAUGGCUCUCCAGAAGCAUUAGAAAACUCCCUGUUUGUCAGAAUAGAAAACUUCCCAAAGCUUUCCAGUAAAGAACCACAAAAGCUUCGUGACCUGUCAGAUCUACUGAGUGAACUCCAAGCUGCAAAGCUAGAUGGCUAUUUACCUGGGCUAAGUUACCUUGACACUGCGAGAGGAGUAGGUCCAAUAGUGGAGAAGCUGCCCUUUCCCCUUCAAGAAAAAUGGGCAAUGGUAGGGUCAAAGUUCAAAGAAGAACACAAUGUUAGCUUCCCACCCUUCUCAGUUUUCGUUGAGUUUGUGAAAGGUCAAGCCAAAGCAAGGAAUGACCCAAGUUUCACUACAACAUUCAACACAACUGCACUCUCACAUUCAAAUAACACUGUCAGCUACAGAAAAGGAAAACCAACACAUAACUACAGCCAAAAGCCAUCAGUCAUAGUGCACAAGACAGACAUAUCAUCAGAAGGAUCCAACACAAAAGAAACAGGCAACGACAUUAAAAGACAAUGUCCUAUUCAUCACAAACCACACUCACUUGGGAGAUGCAGAGGUUUCAGAACUAUGCUACUUGAAGACAGGAAAAAGCUGCUAAGAGACAAUAACAUCUGCUACCGCUGCCUUGCUUCUACCAGCCACCAAGCCAGAGACUGUAAUAUUACAAUUAAGUGUGAAGAGUGCAGCAGUGAGAAACACCUGGCAGCUCUUCACCCUGGCCCAGCACCGCGAAUGUCUAAACCUCCCCUAUCCCUUAAAGAGCAAGGCGGGGAGCAAGCAAAUGCACAGGACUCAGAUGUUACUGCCACAUGUACAGAGGUAUGUGGAAAUGCAAUUACAGGAAAAUCCUGUUCUAAGAUCUGCUUGGUGCAAGUCUACCCCAAAGGUCAGCAAACCAACAUCAAACGAAUGUACGCAAUAAUUGAUGAUCAAAGUAACCAAUCUCUUGCAAAGACAGAGUUUUUUGAUGUGUUUGACAUACAAAGUCCAGCUGAACCAUAUACACUAAAAACCUGUAGCGGUGUAACGCAAGUGAAUGGUAGAAGGGCAUGUGACUACAUAGUCCAGUCGUUAGAUGGAAAAAUUAGUUUACCUCUCCCUACACUCAUAGAGUGCAAUGCCAUCCCCAACAAUAGGGAAGAGAUACCCACCACAGAGGCUGCUUCACACCACCACCACCUAAAAGCAAUAGCUGCUGAAAUCCCACCUCUCGACCCAAGUGCAGAUAUAUUGUUACUGAUUGGGCGGAAUCUGCUGAGAGCUCACAAAGUGAGGGAUCAAAUAAAUGGAAGACACAAUGACCCAUUCGCACAGAAGCUUGACCUGGGCUGGGUUAUCAUUGGUGAUGUGUGUCUUGGCAAAGCUCACAAGCCAGGUGAAGUGAAUGUUCUGAAAACACACAUAUUGGAAAACGGUCGCCCAAGCUAUCUCACUCCCUGUGAUAAUCGCUUCAGUGUAAAGGAAGACUUCAGUCUGAGCCAAGCCAAAGCCAUUUCUAAUCAACUGCCAUCCGGUUACUUACACCAAAGGCCCACAGCUGAGAAUUUAGGAGAGACUGUGUUUUGUCGUACCAAUAAAGACAACCAGCUAGCUCAUUCUGCCGAAGACAGGAUAUUUCUAAAGAAGAUGGAGGGAUUCUUCAAAGAUGACACUAACAGCUGGGUUGCACCACUCCCAUUUCGAACUCCCAGACGCAAACUCCCUGACAACCGUUCAUACGCCCACCAGCGGCUCAUGUCUCUACGACGCACACUUGACAAGAAACCCGAAAUGAAGACGCACUUCGUGGAAUUCAUGCAGAAAAUGUUAGACAACCAACAUGCAGAGCUUGCACCGCCUCGCAGCAAAGACAAAGAAGCCUGGUAUCUCCCAAUAUUUGGUGUAUACCAUCCGCAAAAGCCAGGAAAGAUACGCGUGGUGUUUGAUUCAAGCGCGCAGUUUAAUGGAGUGUCCCUCAACGACAUACUGCUUUCUGGCCCAGACCUAAACAACACACUUUUAGGUGUGCUGCUUCGCUUCAGAAAAGAGCCGGUCGCCAUCACAGCUGACAUUGAACAAAUGUUCUAUUGCUUUGUAGUCCAGGAAGAUCACAGAGAUUACCUUCGCUUCCUGUGGUACGAAGAUAAUGACCUUACCAAAGCAGUAGUGGACUAUCAGAUGAGGGUUCACGUCUUUGGUAACAGUCCCUCCCCGGCAGUGGCGAUCUACGGGCUGAGGAUGGCAGCAAGGGAGGCAGAAAGCGAAUAUGGAACUGAUGCACGAAACUUCAUAGAGCAAGACUUCUACGUCGACGACGCAUUAAAGUCUUUCCCAACUGAGGCUGAAGCCAUUGAUGUCCUACAAAGAGCCCAGAAAAUGCUCGCCCUCUCCAAUCUGCGUCUGCACAAGAUUGCUUCCAACAAAGUGCAAGUGGUAAAUGCAUUUCCCCCUGAGGACAGGGCCAAAGAUAUCAAAGAUCUGGAUUUGACGACUGAUGAGAUUCCAGUCCAACGCAGCUUAGGGGUCAGUUGGAACCCCACAUCAGACACAUUUACAUUCCAUGUUCCCCAAGAGCAAAAGCCCUAUACUCGACGCGGUGUGCUUUCAACAAUAAACAGCUUGUUUGAUCCUCUUGGUUUGCUUGCACCUGUUACCAUCAAAGGCAGGCUUCUUCUCAGAGAGCUCUCCAGCAGCAACCUUGAGUGGGACAGUUCCUUACCACAAGACAUGUAUGACAACUGGAGAAGAUGGCGCGACUCAUUACAGAGUCUUACAAGUCUACACAUUCCUCGCACCUAUGUUAUGUUUUCCAUCUCACAAGCCAUCUUCGUUGAACUUUGUGUUUUUUCAGAUGCUUCAGUGAAAGCCAUAGCUGCAGUAGCUUACCUGAAGGUCACACAUGAGGAUGGACACAACGAACUUGGGUUCGUCAUGGGUAAGGCUAAACUGGCUCCCAUUCCAGAGCUCACCAUUCCUCGACUAGAGCUUUGUGCUGCAGUACUUGCUGUUGAGAUGUCAGAGCUCCUCACAGAGGAACUGAAGAUCAAGAUUGACAGGACAACAUUUUACACUGACAGUAAAGUGGUUUUAGGAUACAUCAACAAUCAACACAGAAGGUUUCAUGUAUAUGUGAACAAUCGUGUACAGAGAAUCAAGCAGUCUUCACUACCAGACCAAUGGAGAUAUGUGCCGACAGAACACAAUCCCGCUGAUCAUGGCUCUCGAUCUGUAGCUGCGGAGAAACUUGGUAGUAACUCAUGGUUGUGUGGCCCAGCAUUUCUCCUCAACCACGAGAGCCUCCUUCCAGAAAAGGGUCCAUUUGAACUUGUUGAUCCAGAGUCAGAUGUUGAAGUUAGACACAAUGUGACUGUGCUUAAGACCACAACCGCUCCAGGUGCCUUAGGUUCAUUGCGCUUUGAACGGUUCUCAAAAUGGACUUCUCUCAUAAAAGCAAUAGCCUACCUCAAACACAUAGCUCACAGCUACAAGCCCAAAGAUGGCAGCAGUUGUAGCAGGUGGCACCUGUGUAAGGCAAGUCUCACAGAUGAAGCUUUAUCUCAAGCAGAACACAUAAUUAUCAAAUGUGUCCAGCAGGAAGUCUAUAAAGAGGAGAUAAAAUGCAUCAUGACAAAACGUGCCAUACCACACAGCAGUUCUCUUCACAAACUUAAUCCAAUGAUUGAUGACAAAAACUUACUGCGAGUAGGAGGACGACUUUCAGAGUCCAAAUUGCCAAGUCAUGAAACCAACCCUCUUCUGAUACCAGGAAAGCAUCACAUUGCUACGCUGCUCAUUCGACAUCAUCAUGAAGCUGUCCAGCACCAAGGAAGACACUUCACUGAAGGAGCCGUGAGAGCAAGUGGUUUAUGGAUAGUUGGAGCAAAGAGAUCCAUCAGCAGUGUUAUCCACAAAUGUGUCACCUGCAAAAAGCUUCGAGGCAGAACAGAGCAGCAGAUUAUGGCUGAUUUGCCUGCCGAACGCUUACAAACUGAUCCUCCAUUUUCUUAUGUUGGCCUUGACGUAUUUGGACCGUGGGAGGUUUCAACACGGCGCACAAAAGGUGGUCAAGCUAAUAGUAAGAGAUGGGCAGUCCUGUUCACUUGCAUGUCUACAAGGGCCGUCCAUAUUGAAGUGAUCGAAGCUCUUAGCUCAUCUAGUUUCAUUAACGCUCUUCGCAGAUUUUUUGCAAUCAGAGGCCCUGCUAAACAGUUGAGAUCAGACUGCGGAACCAACUUCAUUGGUGCAUCCAAAGAGUUGAGGCUGGAUCCUCCAAAGCCCAAUGAGGCAACUGUGGAUGACUACCUACGCAAACAGAGGUGUUCUUGGGUAUUCAACGCUCCCCACUCAUCUCAUAUGGGAGGCACCUGGGAACGUAUGAUAGGUGUCUCACGACGCAUUCUAGACUCAAUGCUUCUACAAGCAGGAAACCCUACUCUAACUCACGAGGUCCUGACAACGUUGAUGGCUGAGGUCACGGCUAUUAUCAAUGCGAGGCCCUUGGUACCUGUUUCCUCAGAUCCGGAGGCCCCUUUGAUCCUAACCCCCUCAGCACUGCUCACGCAGAAGUUUAACCCAAUCGAAACUCCACCUGGGGACUUCACAAAAGCCGACAUGUAUAAAAAUCAGUGGAAAAGAGUUCAAGCCCUUGCUGACACAUUCUGGGCCAGAUGGCAGAAAGAAUACCUCAAUAUGCUCCAAAGUCGUCAGAAAUGGCAUCGCAACAAACCAAACUUGAAAGAAGGAGACGUUAUUCUUCUGAAGGACAAGCAACUAAAAAGAAAUGAAUGGCUUAUGGGAAUCAUCACAAAGACCCUUCCGAGCAAAGAUGGAGUUGUCAGGAAGAUGGAAGUGAAGGUUACACGUGGCAAGACUACUAAGACCUUCAACAGACCUAUUUCAGACUGUAUUCUACUUUUAUCUUCAAUGGAGUAGUUUAUAUUGGCAUUCUUAAAAUAAUGCCAGGCGGGGAGUGUGCUGGAGCUGUUUUUAUGUGUUUUCUCCAGGCCGUUAGGGGGCGCAUGUUUGCAAAGUUCGCUAAAUUGAGCCAGUUAAUAAGUAGAAGAAGAAGUGUUACAGGAAGCCAUCUUUCUUUACAUGAGUCAAGAAAUGAACAUGGUGUAUUUCUCAUCUGCACCCAUCCAAUCCUUUCCAUCCCUUUGAGUGGCAAUAUGAUUUCACACUUUUUUCGCAUUAAAUCCGUUCAAAUACAACACACGGCUGUUCCUUGGAGGAAGUGAUGCAAGAAAGAGUUUAGCUGGCUGUGAAUCUCAAUAUAGGACCCGCGGUCAC